RNAcentral lists this ribosomal RNA (330 nucleotides) under uncultured bacterium. RNAcentral's name for it is "bacterial SSU rRNA". It matches the Rfam family "Bacterial small subunit ribosomal RNA", at positions 28 to 349 of the family's 1533-position model. The record is from RNAcentral.
GACGAACGCUGACGGUGUGCUUUAGACAUGCAAGUCGAGCGAGAAAGCCCUUCGGGGUGAGUAAAGCGGCGAACGGGUGAGUAACACGUGGGCAAUCUGCCCCUCGCAGGGGGACGAACCGGGGGAAACUCCGGCUAAUACCCCGUAAGCUUGAUGGAUCGCAUGAUCCAUCAAAGGAAAGGUAGCUUCGGCCAUCCGGCGAGGGAUGAGCCCGCGGUACAUUAGCUAGUUGGUGGGGUAACGGCCACCAAGGCGGCGAUGUAUAGCUGGUCUGAGAGGAUGAUCAGCCACACUGGGACUGAGAUACGGCCCAGACUCCGUACGGGAGGC